This 497-nucleotide ribosomal RNA is filed under the name uncultured bacterium. Its description in RNAcentral is "partial 16S ribosomal RNA". It matches the Rfam family "Bacterial small subunit ribosomal RNA", at positions 28 to 507 of the family's 1533-position model. The record is from RNAcentral.
GAUGAACGCUGGCGGCGUGCCUAAUACAUGCAAGUCGAGCGAACAGACGAGGAGCUUGCUCCUCUGACGUUAGCGGCGGACGGGUGAGUAACACGUGGACAACCUACCUAUAAGACUGGGAUAACUUCGGGAAACCGGAGCUAAUACCGGAUAAUAUAUUGAACCGCAUGGUUCAAUAGUGAAAGACGGUUUUGCUGUCACUUAUAGAUGGAUCCGCGCCGCAUUAGCUAGUCGGUAAGGUAACGGCUUACCAAGGCAACGAUGCGUAGCCGACCUGAGAGGGUGAUCGGCCACACUGGAACUGAGACACGGUCCAGACUCCUACGGGAGGCAGCAGUAGGGAAUCUUCCGCAAUGGGCGAAAGCCUGACGGAGCAACGCCGCGUGAGUGAUGAAGGUCUUCGGAUCGUAAAACUCUGUUAUUAGGGAAGAACAAAUGUGUAAGUAACUAUGCACGUCUUGACGGUACCUAAUCAGAAAGCCACGGCUAACUACGUG